AGUCAUCUGAGUUGUUCGUAAGUUUGCUUUUUAAUUUGGGCCUAACACUCUUUGAUCAAGGGAGCCCAAUGGGUUUUCUUGCAGCGUACACGCCUUAUAUGAUGGACGUACAAAACAAGAAACAGGGCACCCACCUGUAUAUAACAGGCCGAAUGAUCAAGCUAUUAUAACUACGGCAAUACGGACUCUAU
Molecule: non-coding RNA, 191 nt
Filed under: Staphylococcus aureus
Lineage: Bacteria; Bacillati; Bacillota; Bacilli; Caryophanales; Staphylococcaceae
Description: 6S RNA
Rfam family: 6S / SsrS RNA
About the family: E. coli 6S RNA was the first non coding RNA to be sequenced, but its function was unknown until recently.
Source: RNAcentral